Molecule: ribosomal RNA, 319 nt
Filed under: Hypocreales sp. MSX_57715
Lineage: Eukaryota; Fungi; Ascomycota; Sordariomycetes; Hypocreales
Description: eukaryotic LSU rRNA
Rfam family: Eukaryotic large subunit ribosomal RNA
Source: RNAcentral
AGACCGAUAGCGAACAAGUAGAGUGAUCGAAAGAUGAAAAGCACCUUGAAAAGAGGGUUAAAUAGUACGUGAAAUUGUUGAAAGGGAAGCGCUUGUGACCAGACUUGGGCGCGGCGGAUCAUCCGGGGUUCUCUCCGGUGCACUUCGCCGCGUUCAGGCCAGCAUCAGUUCGUCGCGGGGGACAAAGGCUUCGGGAACGUGGCUCCUCCGGGAGUGUUAUAGCCCGUUGCAUAAUACCCUGCGGUGGACUGAGGACCGCGCAUCUGCAAGGAUGCUGGCGUAAUGGUCACCAGCGACCCGUCUUGAAACACGGACCAAG